RNAcentral lists this ribosomal RNA (393 nucleotides) under uncultured Clostridia bacterium. RNAcentral describes it as "bacterial SSU rRNA". It matches the Rfam family "Bacterial small subunit ribosomal RNA", at positions 9 to 415 of the family's 1533-position model. Lineage: Bacteria; Bacillati; Bacillota; Clostridia. The record is from RNAcentral.
GAGUUUGAUCUUGGCUCAGAACGAACGCUGAUGGCGUGCCUCAUACAUGCAAGUCGAGCGCCCGCAAGGGAGCGGCGAACGGGUGAGUAACGCGUGAACAAUCUGCCUCAAAGUAGGGGAUAACCAUUCCAACGGAUGGCUAAUACCGCAUAGGUUUGGGGUCGCAUGGCCCUUCACGAAAGCAGUGAUGCGCUUUUGAGAUGAGUUCGCGUCCCAUUAGCUAGUUGGCGGGGUAAACGGCCCACCAAGGCAACGAUGGGUAGCCGGCCUGAGAGGGUGUCCGGCCACAUUGGGACUGAGAUACGGCCCAGACUCCUACGGGAGGCAGCAGUAGGGACUUUUUGCGCAAUGGGGGAAACCCUGACGCAGCAACGCCAUGUGUGGGAUGAAGCA